This 440-nucleotide ribosomal RNA is filed under the name uncultured bacterium. RNAcentral describes it as "partial 16S ribosomal RNA". It matches the Rfam family "Bacterial small subunit ribosomal RNA", at positions 338 to 795 of the family's 1533-position model. The record is from RNAcentral.
CCUACGGGCGGCAGCAGUGAGGGAUAUUGGUCAAUGGGGGAAACCCUGAACCAGCAACGCCGCGUGAGGGAAGACGGUUUUCGGAUUUUAAACCUCUGUCCUCUGUGAAGAUAAUUGCGUUAGCAGAGGAGGAAUCUACGUCUAACUACGUGCCAGCCGACGCGGUAAUACGGAGGGAGCAGGAGUGGUCCGGAUUUACUGGGUGUAAAGGGUGCGUAGGCGGCCCUGCAAGUCCGAAGUGAAAUCCAUGGGCUUAACCCGUGAACUGCUUUGGAAACUGUAGUGCUUGAGUGCAGUAGAGGUAGGCGGAAUUCCCGGUGUAGCGGUGAAAUGCGUAGAGAUCGCGAGGAACACCAGUUGCGAAGGCGGCAUGCUGGGGCUUAACUGACGCUGAAGCACGAAAGCGUGGGUAGCAAACAGGAUUAGAUACCCGAGUAGUC